GAGUUGUCGUCAUGUUUUGCCUGACAGUGUUCAGGUCCCUGAACGAGAUGGAGUUGCAUUUUUUUUUUCUAACAGGGCAAGAUUGCCGGUUUGCAAAACUGGCCAUGUUGGAAUGUUGCCUUAAUAAAUUUCAAUUUAUUACAAUAAAAUCAAAUUAAUGCGUGUGGCAGGAUACCUCUUUGUUUAUUUUGUUUCUACCUUGUUGGUGAGCUGUAGUUGGGAUUUGGCCAUUUGGGAAUAGUUUUGAAAUGUCCUUUUUCGAAAAUCCUUUAAAAUUUUGAAAUCACAUUUCAAAACUAUCCCAACUACAACCAUCCCAACUGCUAAAAAAUUAAACAAAGCAAGAUCCUGCAACACGUGGUAAAUUAGAUUUUGUUGUAAUAAUAAAUUUGUAAUUUUUUAAGGCAACACCUCUAGUUUUGCAAACCGGCAAUCUUGCGCUAUAUCCCCACCCCCCCAAAAAAAAUGGGGGAGGGUGUCAAAAUUGUCUAUCAACCUUGUUCGUGUUUUCUUCUAGAGGAAUAUGAAACAUCGUGGUUCAUUCAGAUGCCGCGCGUAGGUAUGUAUGGUUAUUCGAUUUGUUAAGCUCCAAGAAAUUGAGCUCCAGGUAAAGAUGAUAUUAAUGCGUUUGAUUGAUGUUAUUCUUUUGUUAAUUCUUCAGUAAACUGUCAGGAGUCAUCGUAUUUAAUAGAUACACGUUCAAGUUCUGAUUAUUCAAUACUAUAGCCCUGUUAAAUAAAGUUGUCAUUGGUGUGAGCUUACUAAAGAUAGAAAUUGUUGAAAGCUAAGUUGAACGUUCUUUUCCAGGUUGUUUUAUGUUGCAUUUCCAAUUUUUUUGCACCUAGUCAUUUGGUAGUGUAUCUGCCAUGUUGAUGGUUGUUAGACCAAGUCUGCCUACUAGUUUCUUUUGCAGUCUGGGAAUGUGUCAUCCGUCCUUGUAUUCUGCAGGUUGGAUUAAAUGGCUAUGUAAUUGUUACUGUUGCACUUUUCUGUGGACUUGGGUAUGCUGGAUUCUGCUAUUGGCGCACAAGCAGUCAACUUUUUCUGAAAAUCGUAUGGUUAUUUGAUAAGGCUAUUUCUAUCAGCUAUCAUUAAAAAAGUGUGGUGGCUGUUGUUCAGAUAGGCUUGCUGAAAUGGAAUGGCUGUGUUCGCCACAGUUACUUGUGUUGUCUAUAUAAUACGGCGCUGAAGUUUUUCUGUUGGUUGUUUGAUCAGCUUAUUUCAUCACCUAUCAUUUAGAAACGUUGAUGCUAGGCGAGGUCUUGUUUGCACAGGUGUGAUGGAAUGGAUUGCACAUGAUGGGCCAGUGGUUAACAUAUUAAUAUUUCUUUUUCGUGUCAUGGUGGAACGUUUUGAAGCUGUUGCUGAAGACUGUGUUGACCAUUUUGUCUGCUAUGGUGUCGUGGUUUUCCGGGUGUGUUGGGACCAUGGUUCUGUGGGUUUUAACUGAGUUUAGGUACAAUGCGGUGUACGUGCGAAUCUUUUGCAUAUUUAUGUUUCAAAUUUAUUUCAACCUUGAUUCUAUAACGUUUAAGUUACGAUUUUGAUCAGGUCAUUAGAACUAAUACUGGGAUUUCUUUCUCUAUUUUAGUUGGUCCUGUAACAGCAAAUGAUGGUCCUAAAGGUAUUUUCCGGUGGGAAUACAGUAUUUAAGCCAUAACGUUGUGAAGAAAAAUGGGGAAUCGUGUAACGAAGACAAGUAAAACGUGUGGCAUACUUGUCCGGUGGCUGCAUGGAAUUUAGACUUAAACAUUUUAUAGUCGUGACAUUUUCUUUAGAUAGCAAGUUAUAGAAAUAAAGGCUGGCAUCUCUUGACUACAGCUGCGGUGGUGAAAAAGAUAUUGGUCGUGAAACAAAAGUAUGCAGAUGGCUGAUCGUUGGGAGAAAAAUUGUCAGUUCGUCGGAGGUCAGCGUCGAAUGUUUUCCAAUAAUAUAUUCCAUUAAAUGUCUCAGCUGUUUAAAAAAAACAUUAUUUGGGGUUCGUUUUCUGUGACGCUGUUUCCUUUUACUUGUGAUAAAUCAGUACUGGGUAGUCAUUACUGUUGCCAGCAUUGUAACUCUCAUUCUCAAAGUUCAAGGAUUUUGUCAGUAUGCAUAUUGAUCUACAAAUGACAUCUAACUGCUGAUCGCCCUGAAUUUACUCAUGCCUUGCGGCAUUUGUUAGUCGCAACUCGGGUGAAAUCUCAAGUCGUGUUUAGCUAGAUAUAUUCGCAUUAGUAAUUGGGAGGAUAUCUUAUUGAAUUAUGUAUUAGCAACUGAAUAAAUUUUAUAUAUCUCA
Molecule: long non-coding RNA, 2278 nt
Filed under: Daphnia magna
Lineage: Eukaryota; Metazoa; Arthropoda; Branchiopoda; Diplostraca; Daphniidae
Description: uncharacterized LOC123475321, transcript variant X4
Source: RNAcentral